Molecule: long non-coding RNA, 544 nt
Organism: Gossypium arboreum
Lineage: Eukaryota; Viridiplantae; Streptophyta; Magnoliopsida; Malvales; Malvaceae
Exons: 4
Source: RefSeq, a predicted model, not a curated record
UUCAUGUCUUUUGUAUUAAAGAAUUAAAUGGAUGAAUUAUGAAGUUUUAUUAAAAGAAAAAGGGGUGAAAAGAACAAAUUUUUGUCCAUCUUUGUUCAUCAUAGCUGAAAGUUAGAGAAGAGAAAGGAGAGGAGAAAGCUCUUGAGUGUUCGGUCACUUGGGGAAGAAAAUUGAAGGUAACCCCCAACCAUAGUGGGCUUGGAGCUGUGAGGGAAUUCGGAGUGGCCACCCGUUCUGAAAGUUUGAUUUUCUUCUGGACCGUGAGUGAGUUGGAACAAGCAGCAGGCAAAAACAAAAAUUCACGCACACGGCAGGGUCGAGAAGUUUUGCUUCUGUAGCUGAGGCCGAGGAAGUCAAAUCUGGACAAAAAGUUGGACGCCUUCAGCUUUUUGAGAUUACGCAUAGGAAGAAAGAUGGAUCUCCUAUGACAUCUGAAGCUAGAGAAAUUAUGAUAUACUUACUUAAUAAUAUUUGAUUUUUUCUAAAUAUUUAUAAUCUUUAAUUAUAAUUGUUUAAUUCAAUUCAUCAUUAGUAGUUGUCGAAA